CGAACGCUGGCGGCGUGCUUAACACAUGCAAGUCGCACGGUGAAGCUCCAGCUUGCUGGAGUGGAUCAGUGGCGAACGGGUGAGUAACACGUGAGCAACCUGCCCCUGACUCUGGAAUAAGCGCUGGAAACGGCGUCUAAUACUGGAUACGAGAAGGGUCCGCAUGGGCACUUUCUGGAAAGUUUUUCGGUUGGGGAUGGGCUCGCGGCCUAUCAGCUUGUUGGUGAGGUAAUGGCUCACCAAGGCGACGACGGGUAGCCGGCCUGAGAGGGCGACCGGCCACACUGGGACUGAGACACGGCCCAGACUCCUACGGGAGGCAGCAGUGGGGAAUAUUGCACAAUGGGCGAAAGCCUGAUGCAGCGACGCCGCGUGAGGGAUGACGGCCUUCGGGUUGUAAACCUCUUUCAGCAGGGAAGAAGCGAAAGUGACGGUACCUGCAGAAGAAGCACCGGCUAACUACCUG
Molecule: ribosomal RNA, 466 nt
Filed under: uncultured bacterium
Lineage: Bacteria
Description: partial 16S ribosomal RNA
Rfam family: Bacterial small subunit ribosomal RNA
Source: RNAcentral